This 440-nucleotide ribosomal RNA is filed under the name uncultured bacterium. RNAcentral describes it as "partial 16S ribosomal RNA". It matches the Rfam family "Bacterial small subunit ribosomal RNA", at positions 338 to 795 of the family's 1533-position model. The record is from RNAcentral.
CCUACGGGUGGCAGCAGUGGGGAAUAUUGCACAAUGGGGGAAACCCUGAUGCAGCGACGCCGCGUGCAGGAAGAAGUAUUUCGGUAUGUAAACUUCUAUCAGCAGGGAAGAAAAUGACGGUACCUGACUAAGAAGCCCCGGCUAACUACGUGCCAGCAGCCGCGGUAAUACGUAGGAGGAGAGCGUUAUCCGGAUUUACUGGGUGUAAAGGGAGCGUAGGCGGUUUAGCAAGUCAGAAGUGAAAGCCCGGGGCUCAACUCCGGGACUGCUGUUGAAACUGUUGAACUAGAGUGCAGGAGAGGUAAGUGGAAUUCCUAGUGUAGCGGUGAAAUGCGUAGAUAUUAGGAGGAACACCAGUGGCGAAGGCGGCUGACUGGACUGUAAAUGACGCUGAGGCUCGAAAGCGUGGGGAUCAAACAGGAUUAGAUACCCUUGUAGUC